AGUAAACUAAACGACAAUAAAACAACAACCCAGCCAUAUGAGUUGUCUUUUUCUAGAUUAUUCUAUAGAAAAUAUCUGCAUCCCAAACGACCAGCUCUUAGAGAAGACAAACAGACAGAGAAAUGGAUCCAACAUCUUCUCAUACUCCACAUAACCACUUGAUGAUUCUGUUUCGGUGUAAGCUUCAUCUUCAUCCCUGAUCGACUUCCGAUUCAGUUAGAUCUUGACCAACAUUUUCAUGAACAAGGGAGUCGCCCUCAAUUUCAACAUAUUUCAUCCCCAAAUCUCUACCCACAGUAACCGCCUGCAGACAUGUAAUGGCUUCAGCUGCGAAUCCGGAAGGAAUGUUGUCGUGGGCCAUUUUUUUUAGGCCAAAACAUCUCUUUUAAAAUUCCUAACUACGAUUCCCGAGCAUGAUCUGUUUUUACUGUUAUCAAAAGCAGCAUCAAAGUUUAUUUUAAAGAAGCCUUGUUUCAGAGGUCUCCAUAAAUCAGAGUCCGGACUUAAGAUCUCUUAUGUCCUUCAUGAAUCCAUUGAUUUCUAGCGGAUCAGAUAGCCCAAAUGGCGUAGACAAAGAUUCGACAUCCAUCUGUCUUACUGUUUAACAAGACCCAGGUAAACCGUUCCAUAAACUCCAUUUGGGAUAUAUCAUGAGACCAGGCAUACUCUAAUUUUUCCCAUGUUUCCUUUGUAACAACACAAUCGCGAAAAAUGUGUUCCCUAGUUUCCAGCCCUUGCAUGCAUCUUGGACAGACAACUUCAUUAGUUAAUCUUUUUAUUCUUAGAUUCACUAGUGUAGGAAGAUAGUUGAGAGUGACUCUCCAAGCUGUAAUAAUUAAUUUGGAAGCGAGGUCACUAUUCCACAGCUUCUUGUAGCAUUUAUUAUUUUCAAUCAGGUUGUAACUAUUAAUAUUUUGAGCAUUACCUUGUAAUAGUAACUUUUAUCCACUACGCACGGUAUACUCGCCGAAUGAUUCACCUCUCCGUACUAGAAAAUCAUCAUGAGGAAGAUGAGCCAGUGGAAUUUGCAGAAUCUUUUGAGCAUCAUCUUUAGAAAAUGUGUUCAAAAUCCACUCAGUUCUCCAUGAUCUAGUAGUACUGUCAAUAAGAUCCGUAACCCUUAUAAUAUUCUGCCUACUAACCAUUUGUCUGGUCAACAGGCCUUCAACAUUCAAAACCUAAACAUCGUCCUCGACUCUAAUGUCACGACCAGUGCCCACCCUCCAGUACAGUCCAGAUAGCAGGAGUCCUUUCGCAGCCCAUAUACUUUUCCAAGUAUAUGAAGUGUGUUUCCUCAUCUACGGUGCAACUACGUUGGAACGGCUCUCUCUCGGAAGAUUUCAUCCCAUCAAGAGGAGUGAGGCAAGGAGAUCCUCUUUCUCUUUACUGCUCGUUCUCGGCAUGGAAAUACUGGGACAUCUAAUUGAGGCAGCAAUUGAAGAAGGGUCUUGGGAACCAAUUAUGCUCUUACGUCGAGGUUUGGGUAUUUCACACAUCUUUUUUGCUGAUGAUUUUUUAUUAUUUGGCAUAGCAACUGAGCAAGGUGCAUAAUGCCUUAAGCAGGUUUUGGACAGGUUCUAUUUCUUAUCUGGCCACAAACUUAACAGGCAGAAGACCCAAUUGUUUUUCUCUAACAAUGUGACAGAAGAAGUAGCUGCAAACCUAUGUGGCAAUUUAGGGUUCUCUAGAGUUAAUGACUUAGGGAAAUAUAUUGGCAUGCAGUUCUUUCAUCACAGGGUUGGGAGUAACACCUUCCAAUUUAUUUUGGAUAAGGUGCGGAACCGUUUAAAUGGAUGGGAUGCUCGUAAGUUAUCAUUUGCUAGAAGACUCACCUUGGUGAAGUCUGUAUUAUUUUCAAUUCCCAAUUAUUUCAUGACCAUAACCCGAAUUCCAGUUACGAUAUGCAAGGAAAUCUAGAAGAUUACUUAGGGCUUUCUAUGGGGUUCCUCUAACGAAACUAAAAAAGUGUCUCUAGUUAGUUGGGAUGAUUGUUGUAAACUAGUGUUUAAGGGAGGGUUAGGAAUUCAACGAUUACAUAAUCAAAAUAAAUUGUUCCUUUUAAAACUGGGCUUCAAUCCGGUGACUAAUACGGAUGCACUGUGGGUACGGGUACUUCGAAGUUCGAAAUAAGUACAAUAUUCAUGGGGUUAUUCCGGAGGAAAUGCACCAUAACAAUUGUUCUUAUGUAUGGUGAUUCAUUGCUAGUGUUUGGAGUGAGGUGAAGCAAGGUCUCAUCUGGAUUAUUUAGGAUGGAAUGAUGGUUAACUUUUGGAACGAUGCCCGGUUGCGAGAAUCAGGUCCUUUAAAACUUCAGUACAUUGGAAGUGGUCCUCUUGAUGAAACCAUCCGUUUUUGUAACUUGGUGGAUGCGGAAGGAGAAUGGAAUUCCAAUUGGCUUCUAACAGUUCUCCCUAAGAAUGUGGUAGAUCGAAUACAAGUUAGCAAUCCUCCAUUAAGGAGUUCGAGGAUAGAUCGUAUUUCUUAAAAGUGGAUGGCUGCCGGAAAUUUCUCCAUCAAAGAUACAUAUAAGCAUUUUUGUUGUACUACCAGUCCUAAUCAAUUUGAGAAUGACAAAGUUAUUUGGAAAAUGAAGGCACCUUAAAGGGUACUAACUUUUUUGUGGCUACAUGUCUGGAAUAAACUUUUGACUAAUGAGGAGCAUACACGAAGAGGUAUGAAUUUCUUCCCUUUUUGUGAGCAAUGUGGUAAGGCAGUGGAAUCAACAAUUCAUGUUGUGAGAGAUUGUGGUUUUGUUCAGUCUAUGUGGAAGUCAUUAAUACCUAGUAUUAAAUGGAAUGUUUUCUUCAAUUUACAUGUUGGGCGUUGGAUACACUGGAAUAUCAUGAACGAGGGGAAUCUAAGAAUCAAUGAGGGCGAACGGCCAACUUUUUUCUCAAUUUUGACCUGGUUUCUUUGGAAGAGUCGUAAUGAAUUCAUUUUUAAUAAUGCUAGUAGAAGUAGCCAUGAAUUCAUUGCCUUGGCUCUUGUUUGGGCAAAGUCUUUUGGUUUUAGUAGUAACAUGGAACAGUUGGCCUGUUUUUCUAAAACGGAACAAGGGUGGCAGCGUCCUGAUCCUGACUAGAUUAAGAUUAACAUUGAUGGAUCAGUGUCAAUAAGCAAUACCAAAGCGACAAUAGGGGGAGUCGUGAGAGAUUCAAGCGGAAAUUGAUUGAUGAGUUUCAAUAUGGAAACAAGGGUGUCCAAUGUUUUCCAGAUUGAGGCAUGAGCGGCUGUUGAAGGCUUGAAGUUGGCUUGGUCAAAGGGCUUCACUCAGGUAGAGGUUGAUUGUGAUAAUGCCAUGUUAAUUGAUACUAUUCGAAAUGGUUUUACAUCAAUUAGUAACGUUGUAUAAGUUCGAUUAAUACAUGAAUGGUGCACUAAGGAUUGGAAAGUAAAGUUUAGACAUACAUUAAGAGAGAGUAACAAGGUGAUUGAUUGUUUGGCCAAGGCAAAAGUAGAGAAAUUAAAUCAAUUAGUCAUUCUCACGGGUCCACCAUAGUAUGUAAGAAGACUGCUAGAGGAAAAUGUUCAUAGAUCUCUGCAUGAGGAGGCCUCCAUCCCUAUACAUUCCUAAUUUUUAGGCAUAUACUUUUAUUUACUAUAAAUAUUUACUAUAAAAAGAUAAAGAAUAAAAUUUUCUCAUAAAAAAAGUAAUAUUUAUA
Long non-coding RNA from Gossypium raimondii (Peruvian cotton), 3662 nucleotides. RefSeq lists it as uncharacterized. NCBI's taxonomy places the organism in Eukaryota, Viridiplantae, Streptophyta, Magnoliopsida, Malvales, Malvaceae. The record is from RefSeq and is a predicted model, not a curated record. The transcript has 4 exons.